AUCUGGGUAGCUCAGUGGAAUUGAGAGCCAGUUUUAGAGACUGGAGGUCCUAGGUUCAAAUCUGGCCUCAGACA
RNAcentral lists this transfer RNA (74 nucleotides) under Monodelphis domestica (gray short-tailed opossum). It matches the Rfam family "tRNA". From Rfam's summary of the family: Transfer RNA (tRNA) molecules are approximately 80 nucleotides in length. Their secondary structure includes four short double-helical elements and three loops (D, anti-codon, and T loops). Further hydrogen bonds mediate the characteristic L-shaped molecular structure. tRNAs have two regions of fundamental functional importance: the anti-codon, which is responsible for specific mRNA codon recognition, and the 3' end, to which the tRNAs corresponding amino acid is attached (by aminoacyl-tRNA synthetases). tRNAs cope with the degeneracy of the genetic code in two manners: having more than one tRNA (with a specific anti-codon) for a particular amino acid; and 'wobble' base-pairing, i.e. permitting non-standard base-pairing at the 3rd anti-codon position. The record is from Rfam by way of RNAcentral. Lineage: Eukaryota; Metazoa; Chordata; Mammalia; Didelphimorphia; Didelphidae.